UUAUACCUACGGGGGGCAGCAGUGAGGGAUAUUGGUCAAUGGCCGCAGGGCUGAACCAGCCAAGUCGCGUGAGGGAAGACGGUCCUAUGGAUUGUAAACCUCUUUUGUCGGGGAGCAAAAGACGCCACGCGUGGCGUUCCGAGAGUACCCGAAGAAAAAGCAUCGGCUAACUCCGUGCCAGCAGCCGCGGUAAUACGGAGGAUGCGAGCGUUAUCCGGCUUUAUUGGUUUUAACGGGUGCGCAGGCGGAAUGUCAAGUCAGCGGUAAA
RNAcentral lists this ribosomal RNA (268 nucleotides) under uncultured bacterium. Its description in RNAcentral is "partial 16S ribosomal RNA". It matches the Rfam family "Bacterial small subunit ribosomal RNA", at positions 333 to 598 of the family's 1533-position model. The record is from RNAcentral.